Schistosoma rodhaini is the source of this 45-nucleotide non-coding RNA. NCBI's taxonomy places the organism in Eukaryota, Metazoa, Platyhelminthes, Trematoda, Strigeidida, Schistosomatidae. The record is from Rfam.
AUCCAGCUGACGAGUCGAAAAUAGGGCGAAACAUGCCUCCUGGAU